AGAGCGAGGACGCUAACAGGAACAAUGACUCAGGAUGAGGGUCAGGAGCGCCAGGAGGCGAAGACAGAGGAUUGUCAGGAAGACAAACGUCCGGAGACGUAAUUAAACGGAAAUGGAAUCAACACGGAUUGUUCUGGCUAAUGGAAAAACAGGGUGUGUUGGCGGCCUGCAAGGAUUGUAAGACCCGUUAAGGGUUAUGAGUCAGGAAAAAAGGCGACAGAGUAAUCUGUCGCCUUUUUUCUUUGCUUGCUU
RNAcentral lists this small RNA (252 nucleotides) under Escherichia coli. Lineage: Bacteria; Pseudomonadati; Pseudomonadota; Gammaproteobacteria; Enterobacterales; Enterobacteriaceae. The record is from RNAcentral.